Scophthalmus maximus (turbot) is the source of this 4830-nucleotide RNA transcript. It is a transcript of the gene named coenzyme Q2 4-hydroxybenzoate polyprenyltransferase, with no coding region annotated. The transcript has 9 exons. The record is from RefSeq and is a predicted model, not a curated record. NCBI's taxonomy places the organism in Eukaryota, Metazoa, Chordata, Actinopteri, Pleuronectiformes, Scophthalmidae.
CAGGAAAUCACAACACUAGUCCUGGAGCCGCCUGUUUAAUGCUCAGCAGUCUCCUCUGAAGCUAAUAUUUUCUCUUUUGUAACCGUCAGUGCAAGUUUGUUUCACCGUUACAUUUACAUUUUGUUCCGUUUCAGACAUUUUAAAGGGUUCAGUUUGUGGCCGACGUUCAUUUCACCGUCAGAAUGAAGUACAUGAAGCUAAGAUGUUAGCUUGUCCCUUUUACUGUUAUGGUUUUAACCACCUGUAAGCUAGCGUACCUUACCUGGCAACCGAUAAUAGAAUCAGGUCGACAAACACUUUCAGCUCAGAGAGACAGAACUGUGUUACACAUGAACUCGUCAGUCUUUGUUCAGCUGAUUCAGUGUAGCACAAAAGGAAAUGCCUGUUUAAGCGAAUCACUCCUGCUCUGUGGAAGAAAAGCGAACGUCACACUAUUGUGUGUGUGUGUGUGUGUGUGUGGGCGCAUGUUUCUGUUUGUGCGUUUAGGGGUGACACUCCCUGAGGUGAAAAAGGAAAACGAUAAUAUCAGUCUGACCUCUGGGGAAACACCAAUGCUGCAAGCCAAGCUGACCGGUCAGCUGACUCUGAACUUCCUGAGGAGGAUCCACCAUGGAGCCUCUUGCCCUUGUCUUUACUCACUGUCAGACUACUGCACAAAGAAGAAAGAAGGGACCAGGACUAAACAUGGUCUCCGCUCAGACUCCAGUGUGUCAAGAAGAGCGUUUCACAGCCAGGGUGUAUUCGGCCCCUCGGUCAGCCCGCGCGAAACUCAGCACCAUGGGAGAAGAUCAUUCAGUCUAUCAGCUGCUACGAUUGUGAACUCAGCACCAGCUCCUGUCAAGCCAUACCUCCAACUGAUGAGGCUGGACAAGCCUAUUGGGACGUGGCUGCUGUACCUCCCGUGUACGUGGAGCAUUGCUCUGGCUGCCGACCCUGGAUGCCUUCCAGAUCUGGGCAUGCUCACUCUGUUUGGUGCAGGUGCUGUGCUAAUGAGAGGAGCAGGCUGCACCAUCAAUGACAUGUGGGAUAAAGACUUUGACAAAAAGGUGUCCAGGACAGCCACUCGACCCAUUGCCUCCGGGGCGGUUUCUCGGAUGCAGGCGCUAGUCUUCCUGGGAGGGCAGCUCUCUCUUGGACUCGGCGUUCUCUUGUGUCUCAACUAUUACAGCAUAGCUCUGGGCGCUGCUUCGUUAUCUCUUGUUGUCACCUACCCGCUGAUGAAGAGGAUCACGUAUUGGCCACAGUUGGUGCUAGGCCUCACAUUUAACUGGGGGACGCUGCUCGGCUGGUCUGCUGUUCAGGGCUCCUGUGAUUGGUCCGUGUGCCUCCCGCUGUAUUUCUCUGGAGUGAUGUGGACGCUGAUAUACGACACUAUAUAUGCUCACCAGGAUAAGGAGGACGACGUUAAAGUAGGAGUCAAAUCUACUGCACUGAGGUUCCAGGAGCAAACCAAACCUUGGCUGAGUGGCUUCACGGUGGCCAUGAUGUCAGGACUGGUUGUAGCUGGGAUCAAUGCUGAACAGACUCUCCCUUACUAUGCUGUUCUGUCCACAGUGGCCAUCCACCUAUCACACCAGAUUUACACAUUGGACAUCAAUAAGCCAGAAGACUGCUGGAAGAAAUUUGUCUCCAACAGAAACCUUGGACUGUUGUUAUUUUUAGGCAUUAUUGCUGGAAAUUUGUGGAAAGGAAGAAGAGAGACUUUGCUGCAAAACGAGGAAGGCACUCAGAUAAGUGAGAUUAUCAAUACAUAGCAUAUUUUGGUAUUUUCGAGAAAUCAAAAAGGUCAUAUCUUAACUCACUCAGGAGAGUAUAGUUCUUACCCAUAAAACCUAAUUUACAUUUACCUAAUUUACAGUUGAUGACCUAAAAAUCCCAUUUAACUGUAUUUUGAAAUGAAAUAAUACACAUUUAGCAUAUAUAAUGAACUUCUGUAUUUAAGUACCCAAAUAAUGUGGAUGAUUGUUGAAAUGCAAAAAAAAAACAAGUAAAAAAUCCAAACUUAAAUAACUGGUGAAACUUAAAACACGUGUUGCCCACUGUUGGUAAAAACACCUUGAACCUGCACCAAAUAACCACCAGGGAGCAGUGUGGUUCAUUAGAUUCAAUUGAGGAAUGUCCUGGAAAGUCAUUGGUCCAACAACUGUCUGAGCUUGUUAAAUAGAGAAUGCCUACUACGGGGUUAUGGUUUUUAUGAGGGGGUGGUAACCAUGACUGCUAGAGUAGUCGCACCCAUUCACUCUAAUUGCAGUCUGCAGAAUCCAAACCACUGGAGGUAAGAGGCUACAAGCUGCGUAGACCUGCAGCGCUUGGUGCAUUUAAAACGCCAUGUGUUGCUCUCGCUCAUAAAUGAUCCAUUGCUACAUGUUCACUGAAUAAUAUGGCUAAUAAUAUAAGAUUGUAUUACAAUUACCAUUAUACCCGCAACCUCAUCAUCUACUGUCCUCCCGGUUCUACAAAACUAUUAGCUGCACAAUCAACAACAAAGAAUAGAAAUUCAGAAAUACAAUAAAGUCACAUGAUCGCAGGUUUCCCAUGUUGAGAGUAACAGAACAAAACAAGCCUUUCAUAUUAUAGUAGAGUUGCUAAAUCACAAAUAUGUAGGUGCAAGGGUUUGUUAACACAGCUACUGUAGUAGUCUAGCUCACUAUGUUGAGUUUUAAUAUUAUAAGUAGAAUAAUAUUACAAAGGGGAAACAGACCAAUGAAUGUAACAGACAAAAGUCUCAAGCCGGACAUAUUUCUUAAUUCUACAGCUAUAACAACACACGUAACAAUCAUUUGAGUGUUGAUCCAGCCCAAACACGUGUAUAGCAGCUUCCUCCAUGCUGAAGAAAGUUUUGGGUGCAGGUAACUGUGUAUGUAGUAGUCUGCUAUCACUGCUGAUGCCCAGGUCGAAAACCCCACAAAAUGACCCAAGUGCAAGCCAUGCCACCACAGUGAAAAACCAAAAGUUGCGAACAACGGGAAAUGUUUGCUUCUUAGAUAAACCAGCCGACGCAGCCACGAAGCUGUCGUGGCGUUCCAUCGGCGGGCAAACUGCGACAUGCGGCUCGACGCCUCGGUCCUCCAGAAAUCUCCGUCAGUCAGUCCAGUCCACGCUCUGGAGUCUCCAGGUGAAUUUUCACCAAGUCCAAACCCAGCUGCGUUAUUGAGGCAUUCACUGAUCCUCCAGUGGGAGUAAUAUUGGAUCCUCAAAGCCAAUGCAAGACCCCAGACCCACAGGACGCCGUAAAGAGCAGUGGAACGAGUGGGAUCAUAGACGUUUUGUUUUAUAAGGUGAAUGAGAAAAAACCUCGCCAACUCCAGCAAUGACACCCUAAUCAACUUCAGGAAUACCACACCUAGUGGACUGGGUGCGAGGUUGAGGCCGAUUCCCUCCACGUGGGACACAAACUGGCUGUAGGAGCACAAAGGGCCACCGAGCAGCGUGGUGAAACUGAGGAUGUAGCCGAAGAGAGGGAGAAGCGUGACGCAACUCUUCAUGUUGGACGACGCAUCGAAUGUGAACUUAACUUGUUUCUCCUGGAGGUCCAUGGACACCGAGGUGAUUCUCUGAGUGAGCAGCAUCGAAGAGGACACUGCCAAGAACAAUCUGAAAGAACGAGGUGGACAUUUGAUAAAUAUAUAUGAUUCUUUUCUUUGUCAGAAAGAGAAGUAGAUUUAAAUGCCUGUGCAUUUAAUGUUUGUACCCGGUGCAUAAUGGCAUCCAGAAACGGGGGGUUAGAAGUUAAUUCUCAACAGUUGACUAUGAAAUUCCAUUUUAACGUCCAUUUAGCAUCUGUUUCUGGAGCUUUCGAUCAUAUCUCAAGGGUCAUUCUAGGUAUAGGGGGUCCUAGAACAGCUCAGCAGCAUGGGGAGCUUGAACAUUUCCAUGUCGGUGCUAAUUAAGAACAGACCUUUUUAAUCUGCUGAUGAGAACAUGUAAUGUGGUUGAAAGCUCCAGGGCCGUUUGUUUUGUGAAAUCCAAAAUAAUGAUAACAAUUUUUUCUUAUCCAAACAGAAAAUGUUAAAUUUCGUGGCCGACAAAAAGCUAGAAAUGUGUUUUUUUUUUCAUUGAGGUAAUAUUCCCAUGCUCUUUUGUUUCAUCAAUACUAAUGGUAUUAGUUAAACUCAUUUGCAGUAUCUCUCUUGUUUAUUAAUUUUCCGUCAUAAGGCUGGUGUUAUGCUAUAUAUUUGUUACUGUGAACAAUGUAAUUUUUUACCCACAAAAAGUUUAUUAUUCAUAACUGAUGCUGGAUACUCUGGCAAAGCAUGAAGGCGUCUGCGUACAAACCCUUUAACCAGGAGAUUAAUACCUGACGCUGACCGGCUCUUGCAGACAGUAUUCCCUGUACUGUAUGAUCAGGUGCCAGAGGGUUUGCAACAGCAUCUGGAUACCAAACGCCCAGAUGUGUAAGUUGCCGGAAUCCACAGAGCACAUGAGCAGAAUAAAGACAAAGGUGGAGGCGAACAGAAGCGAACUGUAGAUGCCCAUGGUGACGACUGCCAGGAUGCAUCCUCCAACAGACACAAAGAGCUAUCCCCCCAAUAUGUUGUUGGCCCUGCGGAGUGACUGUCCCUAUUAAAAACCGUCUGCAUCCCACCUCACUGGUCUGGCACCUCGCUCACCACCUGUUGCUCCGGCACUCUUCCACAAGGUCAACUUUCAGGUCCCGGCCUGGUGCUGUCGCUGUCCCUAGCAGGCCAGAGAAGGUGGCUCUGGCAAGCUGUUUGUUGGUUUUCUCCAGCCCUGAUGAAAGCUAUACGACCUUUAGGUCAUGGUACCAGUGGUACCCCCACCCCCCGAGGAUGAACACCAGCGACCUUCUCUUCAGGCAAAGAGGAAAGG